AACGAACGCUGGCGGCAGGCUUAACACAUGCAAGUCGAGCGAGACCUUCGGGUCUAGCGGCGGACGGGUGAGUAACGCGUGGGAACGUGCCCUUCUCUACGGAAUAGCCCCGGGAAACUGGGAGUAAUACCGUAUACGCCUUUUGGGGGAAAGAUUUAUCGGAGAAGGAUCGGCCCGCGUUGGAUUAGGUAGUUGGUGGGGUAAUGGCCCACCAAGCCGACGAUCCAUAGCUGGUUUGAGAGGAUGAUCAGCCACACUGGGACUGAGACACGGCCCAGACUCCUACGGGAGGCAGCAGUGGGGAAUCUUAGACAAUGGGGGCAACCCUGAUCUAGCCAUGCCGCGUGAGUGAUGAAGGGCCUUAGGGUUGUAAAGCUCUUUUCAA
RNAcentral lists this ribosomal RNA (385 nucleotides) under Paracoccus marcusii. Its description in RNAcentral is "bacterial SSU rRNA". It matches the Rfam family "Bacterial small subunit ribosomal RNA", at positions 29 to 440 of the family's 1533-position model. Lineage: Bacteria; Pseudomonadati; Pseudomonadota; Alphaproteobacteria; Rhodobacterales; Paracoccaceae. The record is from RNAcentral.